GUCACCAACAUUUUAACGUAUAAUUUUAACAGCCUCUUUAAACUAAUAUCCUGGCUUGUUCGAGGCUGCUGUUUUUUCUGACAGUUUCAAUCAAAAUUAGAAAUGCUACUCUGAGCAGAGGUGGGUAGUAACGAGCUACAUUUACUCCGUUACAUUUACUUGAGUAAGUUUUUGAAAAAAAUUUACUUUUUAAGUACCUUUUUUGCACGAUACUUUUUACUUUUACUUGAGUACAUUUAUAAAGAAGAAACGGUACUUUUACUCCGCUACAUUUGCAAAAUUCGACUCGUUACUUUAAAAAAAAUUAGUUUAACACAUUAGAUAACGUGCCGUCAGUGGAGUUUCCGGUAACUUUUUUUUACCAAUGAGACGUGGCCAUACAGUCACAUGACCAGUUUGAACCCGUGGCGGGCAGAGCGGCCCAAGCUUUUCACAGUAGCGGACACACGGAAAGAAGAAAUAUGAUGGCAGAGUCUACGCUAGAGCUGAAGAGGAUGAACACCUUUGGCCUCAUAUACAAAGAAUGUUUCGCUUAAAAGCAGCACAAAAGAACAGCUAUGUCUGCAGUGUCGGUGUCUUCAGUGAGAGCCAAAACAAACCAACUUCUCAGCGUUAAACAAAUCAGCUCGUAACCUGAUGAAACGGUCUCCACUUCAUCAGACAUCACCUAGACCCAGAGCUGGGUGAGGCCAGCACAAACAGCGGCCUAUUCGAUGAAGAUGAUGGAUCCAUGGGGUCAGGAAAGCCAGUAGCAGAGGAACUGGAGAGAUACCUUUCAUGUCCAUUCACUGGAGGUGUGGAGCUAUUGCAUGGCUUUCCUCACAUCAAGAAGCUGUCGAUCAAAGUCAAUACAGCUCUUCCUGCAUCCGUGAGAGACUUUUUAGUCAUGCAGGACUCCUGUUCACUGCCAAACGGUCACAGCUUCACAGCAAGAACCUUGAGAGCCAACUGCUGCUGAAGCUGAAGCACCAUUUCACUGACUGAAGAAACAAUUUAUGGUAAAGUGAGCCAUACACAUAUGUACAUCCACAUAGUGGAAAUUUGUAUUUGUCUUUUAUAAUUAGUUUUACUCUGAUUUCAGUGUUCAUUUGUGAGUGUAGUUUUUACAUUUUUACAUAUUACAUUGUGUUAAUCCACUGUCUAUACUUCAGGGUAUUUUAGUAUACAAAAUAAGUUUUGUUUGAAUGUCUAUUCUUGUGGAAUUUUAGCACAGAUGUUUUGUUUUUUUUUUUAUUCCUGCUGUCCGCCUUGGGAAUAAACUUUUCCUGAUUAUA
Oreochromis niloticus (Nile tilapia) is the source of this 1274-nucleotide long non-coding RNA. RefSeq lists it as uncharacterized. Lineage: Eukaryota; Metazoa; Chordata; Actinopteri; Cichliformes; Cichlidae. The record is from RefSeq and is a predicted model, not a curated record. The transcript has 2 exons.